GUUUUAUUGAUAAUAAAUAUAUUAACGAAACUACUACUAAUACAACCGACAAUAAUGAAAAAAACAACAAUAACAAUAAUAAUAGUAAUAAUAAUAAAGAUGACAAUGAUAAUAACGCUAAUGUAAAUGAAGCACAAUAUAAAGAAGCAGCGCCUACAGCGGAGCGUUUAGCCAAACUCGACAACUUUCCUUUCGAGCUGAGAAAUGCUUUAUUAUUAGUAAUGGAAAAGUGCUUAUCUCUUCCUGAAGCCAAAAAAAACGUUUUUCCUUCGAGUCUUGUGCCUUUUACUUUUAAUUCUCUGCAGUUGGCUGAAAAAUUCGGCCAACAAUAUGUUUCCUCCGCCGUUUCUUUACUAGCAGAGCUUAUUGGGGUUACUAGACUCACAAUAAAAAGGAAAAAUGCUUUUUAUAAAAACGAGAAACUUUUAUUAGAAGUAUUAAAAGAGUUUGAAUGUAG
Molecule: long non-coding RNA, 457 nt
Organism: Zophobas morio
Lineage: Eukaryota; Metazoa; Arthropoda; Insecta; Coleoptera; Tenebrionidae
Exons: 5
Source: RefSeq, a predicted model, not a curated record